UUCCGGUUGAUCCUGCCGGAGGUUACUGCUAUCAAGGUCCGACUAAGCCAUGCGAGUCGAAUGUAGCAAUACAUGGCGAACUGCUCAGUAACACGUGGACAACCUACCCUCAGAUCUGGGAUAAACCUGGGAAACUGGGUAUAAUACCGGAUAAUCCUUGGAUGCUGGAAUGCACCGAGGAUCAAAGUUCCGACGUCUGAGGAUGGGUCUGCGGCCUAUCAGGGUAGUAGUGGGUGUAAAGUACCUACUAGCCUACGACGGGUACGGGUUGUGAGAGCAAGAGCCCGGAGAUGGAUUCUGAGACACGAAUCCAGGCCCUACGGGGUGCAGCAGGCGCGAAAACUUUACAAUGCCGGCAACGGCGAUAAGGGGACCUUGAGUGCCAGGAUACAAUCUUGGCUGUCGUCGUGUCUAAAAAACACGAUAUAGCAAGGGCCGGGCAGGACCGGUGCCAGCCGCCGCGGUAACACCGGCGGCUCGAGUGGUAACCGUUAUUAUUGGGUCUAAAGGGUCUGUAGCCGGCCGGAUAAGUCUCUUGGGAAAUCUGGCAGCUCAACUGUCAGGCUAUCAGGAGAUACUGUCUGGCUCGAGGCCGGGAGAGGUGAGAGGUACUUCAGGGGUAGGGGUGAAAUCUUGUAAUCCUUGAAGGACCACCAGUGGCGAAGGCGUCUCACCAGAACGGACCUGACGGCAAGGGACGAAAGCUAGGGGCACGAACCGGAUUAGAUACCCGGGUAGUCCUAGCCGUAAACGAUACUCGCUAGGUGUCGGCCACGGUGCAACCGUGGUCGGUGCCGUAGGGAAGCCGUGAAGCGAGCCACCUGGGAAGUACAGCCGCAAGGCUGAAACUUAAAGGAAUUGGCGGGGGAGCACUACAACGGGUGGAGCCUGCGGUUUAAAUGGAUUCAACGCCGGA
This 916-nucleotide ribosomal RNA is filed under the name uncultured archaeon. Its description in RNAcentral is "bacterial SSU rRNA". It matches the Rfam family "Archaeal small subunit ribosomal RNA", at positions 1 to 922 of the family's 1478-position model. The record is from RNAcentral.